CUUAAGUAUAGAGUUUAACUGUGUCAUUUUUAUUAGCAGGAUAUUCUAUCAGCAGAAAAGUUCAAAAAGCUGACUGAAUAACCCCUCUCACGUCAGUAAGGACGAAGUAAUACGGACAAUGUUCUCUCUGGUCACGUAUCCUUCAUGAAAUGUAAAUAAAUACUAGGAUGUGAAGCAUGUACUUCUGCAGAAUACAGCGUUGUCUGGAAAUAGACUCUUGCCAGUUACAGCUGUAAUGGAGAAAGCAAACCUUUCAACACUGUUCUUCUGUUGGCUGCUUUGAAAAUGUUUGUGGAAGUGCUUUGCCAGUCAGCAUAAGGCUUCAGGCAUCCUUGUAAUGUAAUAGCUGAUGGAGUUAUACACAGCCAUUGUUUGUGGCAGGUGACAGCACAGCUUUGCAUUAAUAUCAGGUAUUUGCAGACAGUGGCAGUUGGAAUUGCUUGGCCCAGAAAGAAAUUGUUGCUCUGCCAAAAGCAACAAGGAACCUUCUGAUGACUACAGCAGUACCAAAAGUUUGAUUCAGGAGACUGAUGGCUUAUGUGAGCAACAGAUUGCUGCCCAGGUAAAAGAGUUUUGCAAAGAGGCCAUCAAAGUCACCCAAACUUAGUGAGGAAAUGGAGA
Molecule: long non-coding RNA, 621 nt
Filed under: Anser brachyrhynchus (Pink-footed goose)
Lineage: Eukaryota; Metazoa; Chordata; Aves; Anseriformes; Anatidae
Description: lncRNA (ENSABRG00000002893.1)
Source: RNAcentral